CCUACGGGAUGCUGCAGUGGGGAAUAUUGGACAAUGGGCGAAAGCCUGAUCCAGCCAUGCCGCGUGUGUGAAGAAGGCCUUCGGGUUGUAAAGCACUUUCAGUGGGGAAGAAAGCCUUGGGGCUAAUACCCUCGAGGAAGGACAUCACCCACAGAAGAAGCACCGGCUAACUCCGUGCCAGCAGCCGCGGUAAUACGGAGGGUGCGAGCGUUAAUCGGAAUUACUGGGCGUAAAGCGCGCGUAGGCGGUCUGAUAAGCCGGUUGUGAAAGCCCCGGGCUCAACCUGGGAACGGCAUCCGGAGAGGGGAGAGAAAGGUGCUAGGAGGGAGGAGUGAACUACCCGGGGGAGAGGUGAAUUGCGAAGGGAGAGGGAGGAAAGUGGGGGGCGAAGGGGGCGCGAUAGAGGGACAAUGACGGGGAGGCGGGAAUGCGUAGGCAGCCAAAAGGAUUAGAUAGACGGGAAGUC
RNAcentral lists this ribosomal RNA (466 nucleotides) under Vreelandella stevensii. Its description in RNAcentral is "partial 16S ribosomal RNA". It matches the Rfam family "Bacterial small subunit ribosomal RNA", at positions 338 to 795 of the family's 1533-position model. Lineage: Bacteria; Pseudomonadati; Pseudomonadota; Gammaproteobacteria; Oceanospirillales; Halomonadaceae. The record is from RNAcentral.